Molecule: ribosomal RNA, 256 nt
Filed under: uncultured bacterium
Lineage: Bacteria
Description: partial 16S ribosomal RNA
Rfam family: Bacterial small subunit ribosomal RNA
Source: RNAcentral
UAACACGUAGGAGGCAAACGUUAUCCGGAUUUACUGGGCGUAAAGCGCGUGUAGGUGGUUCUGUAAGUAGGGCGUGAAAGCUCCUGGCUCAACUGGGAGAGGCCGUUCUAAACUGCAGAGCUAGAGGAUGGUAGAGGGAGGUGGAAUUCCGGGUGUAGCGGUGGAAUGCGCAGAUAUCCGGAGGAACACCAGUGGCGAAAGCGGCCUCCUGGACCAUUCCUGACACUCAGACGCGAAAGCUAGGGUAGCAAACGGG